RNAcentral lists this ribosomal RNA (516 nucleotides) under uncultured bacterium. RNAcentral describes it as "bacterial SSU rRNA". It matches the Rfam family "Bacterial small subunit ribosomal RNA", at positions 23 to 518 of the family's 1533-position model. The record is from RNAcentral.
CUCAGAACGAACGCUGGCGGCGUGCUUAACACAUGCAAGUCGAACGCGAAAGGGACUUCGGUCCUGAGUAAAGUGGCGCACGGGUGAGUAACGCGUAGAUAACCUGUCUUCAUGUCUGGAAUAAUACGCCGAAAGGGGUACUAAUACCGGAUAUUCUUGCUUUUCAUAAGUUAUGCAAGCAAAGGUGGCCUCUGCAUAUGCUACUGCAUGAAGAGGGGUCUGCGUACCAUUAGCUAGUAGGUGGGGUAAUGGCCUACCUAGGCGACGAUGGUUAGCGGGUCUGAGAGGAUGAUCCGCCACACUGGCACUGGAACACGGGCCAGACUCCUACGGGAGGCAGCAGUGAGGAAUAUUGCGCAAUGGGGGAAACCCUGACGCAGCGACGCCGCGUGAAGUGAGGAAGGCCUUCGGGUCGUAAAGCUCUGUCAAGAGGAAAGAAGUGUACAAUGGCUAAUACCUGUUGUAUUUGACGGUACCUCUAAAGGAAGCACCGGCUAACUCCGUGCCAGCCGCCGC